GGUUCGGUAGCUCAGGUGGCAGAGCAUGGUGACGGGUGCGGCGAGUGCGCAUCAGCCAAUCCCAACUGAUCCGAGGUCGCUGGUUCGAGUCCAGCCCGAUCCU
Molecule: transfer RNA, 103 nt
Filed under: Amycolatopsis rubida
Lineage: Bacteria; Bacillati; Actinomycetota; Actinomycetes; Pseudonocardiales; Pseudonocardiaceae
Description: tRNA_Ala_AGC
Source: RNAcentral